GACGAACGCUGGCGGCGUGCUUAACACAUGCAAGUCGAACGGAAAGGCCCUGCUUUUGUGGGGUGCUCGAGUGGCGAACGGGUGAGUAACACGUGAGUAACCUGCCCUUGACUUUGGGAUAACUUCAGGAAACUUGGGCUAAUACCGGAUAGGAGCUCCUGCUGCAUGGUGGGGGUUGGAAAGUUUCGGCGGUUGGGGAUGGACUCGCGGCUUAUCAUCUUGUUGGUGGGGUAGUGGCUUACCAAGGCUUUGACGGGUAGCCGGCCUGAGAGGGUGACCGGGCAAAUUGGGACUGAGAGACGGCACAGACUGCAACGGGAGGCAGCAGUGGGGAAUAUUGCACAAUGGGCGGAAGCCUGAUGCAGCAACGCCGCGUGCGGGAUGACGGCCUUCGGGUUGUAAACCGCUUUCGCCUGUGACGAAGCGUGAGUGACGGUAAUGGGUAAAGAAGCACCGGCUAACUACGUG
RNAcentral lists this ribosomal RNA (468 nucleotides) under uncultured bacterium. RNAcentral's name for it is "partial 16S ribosomal RNA". It matches the Rfam family "Bacterial small subunit ribosomal RNA", at positions 28 to 507 of the family's 1533-position model. The record is from RNAcentral.